RNAcentral lists this ribosomal RNA (217 nucleotides) under uncultured bacterium. RNAcentral's name for it is "partial 16S ribosomal RNA". It matches the Rfam family "Bacterial small subunit ribosomal RNA", at positions 115 to 334 of the family's 1533-position model. The record is from RNAcentral.
AUAUAGGUAAUCUGCCCCGAAGAGCGGGAUAACGUCUGGAAACGGACGCUAAUACUGCAUACUCCUUCUCAGCAUAAGUUGAGAAGGGAAAUGAACUUCGCUUCGGGAUGAGCCUUUAUCGCAUCAGCUAGUUGGUAAGGUAACGGCUUACCAAGGCUAUGACGCGUAGCUGAUCUGAGAGGAUGAUCAGCCACACUGGUACUGAGACACGGACCAG